ACGGACCGCUAAGAACGGUAACCAGCUUCUAAAGAAAGCGAAAAAGGGACACAGGUACGAUAUUAUCGUCUCCCCCUCUUGGAUUAAGGAUGUAUUUUUUUCCUCUUGUAUGGUGAUGUGAAGCUGCUCGUUUAAACUAACAAACAGACAAAGAACACAAGUGUUUACAUGAGAAGAACUGCGCGAUAAUACAAUCUCUUUAAACAACAACAAAAAAAAAAGACUAUGAUAACGAGUAAUACGCAAGUAGUAACAGAGCACCAGCGCCUUUCAGUUUCUCAUGGUACAGAUAUGCUGAGUGUGAACACACCAUUAUUUGUUCUCUAAGCUAUUAUAUACAAAAAACAAAAACAUUAAGCGUGAAAAAGACGCAGGCGCGUCUGCACCGCGAAACCGUGAUUCAAGUAUAUGAUAUAACUUCUAACAAUUCUAUUAUGCGCCGUCUAUGAAGAUAUAAGAUGUAUGUAUUUUAGAUUAUUAUUAUAUAUGAUUAACUUGCAGAGACGCAUACACAUACACAUAUACUACACAACACUCGGUUGUAUUAUUUGUUUGACGAAAUGGUACGAAGACAUAGGCAAAGCUGCAUUAGCUAUUUUUAGAAACAAUAACUAUUUUCUUUCAUUUUUUUUUUCUCACGUCGUCUUACAAUCAAAAUUCAGCACCGUAGCUUAUGACACCAGUAUGUUUUAUUCUUUUUCGUUUUGUCCGGAAUUCUUUCCAAAACAAUUACUAAAAUCUUUGCUAACAGGAUAUGUAUGCUAAUUAUUAUUUUCUUUUUUUUUUCUCUUCUUUUUUCAUUGAGGAAUACUUUACAGUGUAUAGGGGUAAACUUUAAGUAUGUUUGCAUAUAUUCAUCUACUGCUCUUUAGCAUUAAACCAAUGUAUUCGUUCAGUAUGUUUCUAAUUAACGAUUCUAAUUGGUAAUUAACUAACUAUCUUCCCCAACCUCUGUUAAGGUUUUGAUAUUCUGAUAGAAUCCAUCGUUUCUCGAUGAGUCUUUAAAAGGCAUAAUCAAAUUAUCCUUACGAGAUAGUAUUCGUGAAAAUUUUUGGUUUCUAUUUAUCUUCCUCUUUUUAUCGAAGGUAUUCUUAUUCAUUUUCGCAGCUUUGCAAUACUUGUGCAAAGCGAUCUAUGUAUAAGAUACAAAUGACGAAUUUCCAGUGUGUAUACAGAUGGAUUAAUUUUUUGAAAUUCGUACAAUUCAUUGAAUGAAUCGGAUCAGUUUGAAUGAGUGAAUGAUGAUGAAAAUGAUCAGAUAUGUAUGUGUGAUGAAUGAUUAUUCGUUUUUUUCUUCGGUAAAUUCGUGAUUAAGUAACAUUUGCGCUUAAAUUAAUCAAGUUUUAUUACAUAUUUCUCCCAAUGUAAAGUUUGGAAUUAAUUUUUAAUUCUAAUCGCCAGAAUUUCUCCAUAGAAUUUGGCUAAUCCUUUUUUUUUUCUUUGAUCUAGUUACAAAUGCAACGUAUAUUUCAACAAAGAAAUUCAAAUUUUUUUUUCCAAAGAUAUUGCAUUAUAAAAUGACAACGGUGAUUUUUAAUUUUUUUUUUUUCGCAAUCUUCCUUUCUUUUUUUUGACCCAAAAGAAACACGGAUAUAUUUAAAUACGUAGACUGACCAAAUUUACUUGAGGUGGUGUUUUAACUAAUCCGUUAUUUUUCUUUUUAUUUAAAAGAAGGCAUAGUUUUUUUUUUUUUUAAAUACAUCUUUAGUAUAACUCAUUUUUUUUUCUCUUCGUUUUGUAAGUUAGCUGUAAGGUAAAUUAAAUAAGUUGGCGUAUGUAUAUGCAGAUCUCAAUCGAGUGCAUCCAUGCGUGUGUGUGGCUGUGUGUGCCUGCGUGAGAGGAUAGACAGGAAAAAAUGUGCAAUUUCGAACUUUCAAUUACUUUCUCCAUCGUCUCGUAGUCCAGUAAAACAAAAUUUUUAAUCGUAUCUAUAGCAUCUCUGACAGCUGUGCAUCGCGUUUAAAAUGGUUGACAGGAGUUCUAACGUAAAAUCUAAUAUUCGUUUCGAUAAACAACCGGUUCUCAUCGAACCACCGUCUCGGUUCGUUCUGAUUUUUCUUUCGUGUAAAACGUUGCCGUGCAACGGUUUACUCGAAGACAAAGUUGGAGCAGAAGUAACGAGAGUAAAAAGAAAUAAUUCGUCUUCGUUUCUCUCCCUUUUCGUAAUUCGACUAUUAAAUAUUUUCUCAAGUUUGGUUAGUUUCUUCAGCAUCAGUCUCUCUCGUGAUAAGAAAUUUCAAGUUAAGAACGCUUCGAGAGCUCCACGCUCUCAAUCGAAAUUCUUCUGAUAAACGAAAUCAGUUUCUUUUGUAGCACAUGAGUGGGGUAAUUGAUAAGAGUCAAUCCGUAUGUUCGAUCAAAUUAAAUAGUUUCUGCUCUCGACGGAAGAGGAAUCGUCUGAAUUGUAAAUUGAAAAUUAGGCAGGGUUAAUUUCCGUGCCAAAUUUAAAUUCUCGUUUUUCUGAUUUGAAUCGAGUAUGUUUAUUAUAGAUUCUAAUUGAUCCUUAAUUUUUUUUUUCUAGAAACGAUUUGGCUGAUAAGAAUUUUAGUAUUUGCCCAGUGAUUAAUCUUUAUACAUUCGAGUCUUUUUUUAACUCGGAUCAAAUGAAAUUUUUUCAAAGUGGUAUUAGAAAUUCUCUUGAGAGCUCAUCGGACGCGAGGUUAAAGAUAAAAAAAAAAAAUUCAACACUGCCGUCCUAUGGGAGAUUGAUUGAAUAUUAAAUUUUGAACGGUACGAGGAGAUCGUCUCACAGACGAAUUCUGUAAAUAAAUCGACAGGAGGGAAAUUGUAAUUUUCUGGAGCGUUUGUAAAAAACAGAAAACGAAAAAAGAAAAACGGAUUGUUUCGUGUAUAAAGGAUUUAGUGUACAUAUACGAACGAGGGGACAGACGUGUAUUAUGUAUAUAUGUAUUGUAUACAUAUUGUAAGGGGGGGGGGGAAAUGAUUCUCGGUAUGGCAACGGCGUUUUGUUCCGUUCCGAUCGAGAGCAUCAAACUAGGAUUUCGAUCUUUCAAGUACAGCAAUAUUUCAGCUCGAGUCUCGCAGAGAAGCGAAAAAUAGUCAGUAUGUGUGUGCAAAGAAAAGUAGAACAGACGAAAGGAAAAUACCACCGCGUAUCAAAGGUUGCAAGGGUUGAUCUUUGGGGAUGAGGGAUAGAAAAGGGAGGGUGCUCUUGAAGUGUGUUAAAAAAGAAGGCGUCGCUAGAUGGACGCAUAUGAAAGAGCGUACGAAUUACAAAGUGAAUAAUCAACCAAUCGAUAAUAUUAAUUUUAAAAAUGAUAAGAAAUUAGCUGUGAUGAUGACCCUAUAGGUACUACUAAUUUUUAAUUGGUAACUGAUCAACUUAUAUAUAUAUAUAUAUUAUAUAUUAUAUGUAUAUGAUUAAAAGUUAAGCUGGGGUAUAAUAUAAGAAGUGCAAGUACGAUGAUGACAAGAAAAAAAAAAAAUUAGCUUUCUUUCGGAAUAGAAACGUGAGAGACAACACGAGAGGCAAAGAAAGAUAACACUAGUGUGUUAAUUGGUGUUCUAUCACAGAACAUAAUAGGGGAUGUUUUUCUUUGUCUUAAUUGAGGGGCUCCGGUACCCUGCACUCUCUUCAAGCGUUUACUAUUAAUUAUCCUAAAAUCUAGUAAUUAAGGGAUGUAACGCGCGCGCGAUCGUAGAACACAAACAAAAUGCUCGAUGAUAGCGUUAAUUGAGGAGAAAUGAUGUGGGGGGUGCAAUGUUUCCGCGACAAAAGAAAAACUGAAAAACAAUGUUCUUUUAGGAACUCUAUCGAGUACGUCCAUCUUGUGUGUGUCGUAAUCCACCUUCGUGACUUUAAGAUGAGAACAUAGUUAGUAGUUCUAAUUAUAUAUAUAUGAGCCAACCAGAGAACUUGGGUCGUUUCGAGCGAAAAAAAUAAAUAAUCGGAUCGAGGUCGUGUCGAAUUUUUCUCUUUGAAACGUGCUUCCGGUCGUGCAUCACUCACGUACGUACGCUUCGUUCCGUUUCCGGUUUACACGAAUAUUUUCCGCGAAUCGAAUCUAAAAGUGUAACACCGCAAGCGAAAAGAAGCGAUCUUUUUUUGUUUCUUCUUUUUCAAAAUUAAGGUUGGGUGAAAGAAACGAUCCACGCUCGGCUGGCAAUUAUUGUGAUAUUGUAACGUACAAAAUCGUUCGUCGCGAGUUACACGAAAGAUCGAGUAAUAAUCGAUAAGACAAAAAAUUAAGAUUCUCGUGAAGGCUUCACGGAUGUGUCAUGGUUCAAUUGCGCUAACGAUAAGUGUGUUAAGCCUUGCGUCUGGUUCACAUUAACGCGUAUUUUAUUACUAUAUCUUCGUUAUGAUUCUGAGGAAGAUAAACCUAUAUCGCAAUAACUGAAAUGAAUAUUAAAAACUAGCUUUAAUAUUUUCUAACGAUUUGGCUGUAGAGAAUUUCUUAAACGAAUUAUUUGUAGAAUGUUACUAGUCAACGUUCAGAAAUGAUAUUUCUUUUUUUUUUAGCAAUUCUUGGGGCCAUUAUUAAAUUUAAGUUUCAACGAUACGUUGAAAUAAUUAGUGUAAUCCUGACCGCUAUCCAAAGUUCUUAUCUUUUCCGAGGGCCAUUGGUGACCCAUCGUUAGUCCCAAUAACGCUCGUAAAAUAGGUUCGCAUUGAUGUGAACGCGGCAUUAGGAACUAUUGAUUGCGGUUACUUAACACACGUUGUACACAGAAAUAUGCACACCGUGAUGCAUCCGUCGACGAACAUUGUAUGGUGUACAAAAGCACAUAUAGAGCCAAUAUAUGUGCUGUUGUACGUCGAAACUUCAUCCUACCACGUAUCUUCGUACCUUACAAACAAUUUUCUUUUGCUGGUCUCUUUCGAAAGUGAAUUGUAUAUCGUAUGCUUUAAUGAUUCACCUGUAAAUGUGUAUCGUGUUAAUAACAGACGUUGUUUACCGCGUUACAUGUUUUUGGUUUGUUGAUUUGUUACGUAGAGAGUUGUUCUUCUUUAACGCAGUCGAAUUUUUUUUCUUCAUCGUGUCAGAUGAUGCGUUUUUCUUUUUCCGAAUGCAAGUUAAGUAUUUUGGGAGCUUCCAUGAGAAACAGAAACGGGGAUUAUUCUUACCGUCUUCUGUUGAUCACAUUCAUCGGUGACGCCUGAAAAACUAUUCCUACGGAUUCAUUCGAUCGAAACGUGGAUUGUUUCUUCUUAAAGGCGAAUUCUCAUCGAAUUGGAAGUUCUGUCGCGUUCGAGUAUCUUCGAUUCGUGCACGAUUAUUAAGUAAAUAAUUUAAUCAUUUUUCUUAUCCGAACAACUUUGGUUUCUUUUGUGUUCUUUUUUUCUUCUUUUAAUUUCUUUUUUUUUAAUUAGGUUUAUCAUGGUGUGCUCCUUUUUUUCUUUUAUAAAUCAUUCGCGUAUAUAGUUUUAGGUUAAUGACAUUGGGAAAAAACAGUUUCUUUGUUUCUUUCUUCCGAUUUACUUUAAUUUGAUAUAUAAGUAUUUUUUAGGCGAUUAAGAUAGAAAUUUGGUCAGGUGAAAUUUUUAUGGUACGUUUAAACGUUAUUCGAUCGAGUCUUUUUUUUUUAUUUUUCUUUCGCUUUGUACGUCUUUAAAGGUUCUUCUGAGCGUAAAGAAACGCUAAAGAGCAGAGGAAAAGAGAUCCCAUACGAAUUUUGCAUAUCCUUACUCAAUUCUCGUUAAGGAAAGAAUACCGGCGCUUGUCGAACGUUCUUUUUAAAAUUAAACGAAAAAUCAUAGAAAGUUCAGCGGUGAAAAAAUAAACGAAAGUACAGGCGAACAAAAAUUAGCCGCUCAUCGAAAGAAAAAAAAAAAUGGAACCAAACGUCUUCGAACGACAACGUCAAACAACAAACAAACAAAAAAUCAUCGCGUCGCGUCUCGAAACGGUUUCCCCUCAAAAGUAUUUUUCACGAGGGUACCUCGGGACGCGAUUCGUGUCUCAAUAUAAUAUAUAUCGUGUUUUAUUGAUUUUUCAUGAGAUGCAAAAGAAAAAUGAAAAUCAACAAGCUCAUCGAUUUCAUAAGGAGAGCGCACUGAUCAUUAUACAGGGACACAAAACACAGCCACACGAAACACUAUGUCGAUUAAUUAAUUAAGCCUUAAAUUUAGAAUUAAGUUGAAAGGUCUGAGAGAAGCAGAGAGUAGAGAGAGAAAGGUUCAAAAAAAAAAAAUGGGGAAGGGAAGAAGAAGGAAAGAGAGAAAAAGCUCUGUCUUUUUAGAAACGUGUCAUGGUCUACUAUUACAUGUAUCUCAAUCAGUAUAUUCUUUUUUAAUUAAUGGAAAGAAGCUAGAGCUUAAUUUUAGUCUAAGAAUUAAUAUGAAUUCGGUACGUUCAUUUUACUUUGUUUUAGUUGUGCCUCCUUUUUUUUUUUCUUUGAUUUUCAAUCAUGUGUGUUUUAAGAUUCUAUUUCUUCGUGUUUUAAUUUCGAUUCUUUAACGCGUUCGCUGUGGACGGAAUGAAAUAAGUGAACAUAAUAUUGAUAAGUAAUAUAAUGUGAUCAAGACCGCAGCGAACGCGUUAUGUAUGCGUUUCCUACCGCCGUUCGGGUAGAAUCGGCAAAAUUCGGGGCACACGUUUUGAUCUCAAUCGUUGGCGCGAAACAAUACCUCUUUUUCCUUUUUUUAAAUAAUACCAUGGAUAAAAUCGUGUUGUAUUGUCAUGGGAUCACGCAGAAGGCAAAUUCCAUCAUAUUUUCAAAUCUGUUUUUUCAUUGGCGUCGCUUUGCAUUCGAAUCGAGCGAUUUUCGAAUACGAGGCGACGCUUCUCGAAUUGAAAAAGGUGCAAAAAUAAAAACACGCUGAGUGGUCGCAUGACGCGUAUACAUAUCGAUCGAUCGGCGAAAAUGAAUGAAAAAGACAUUUUCAAAGAGCUAUAGACCAUCGCGGUUAAGUGAAAAUACGAUUUUUACUUACGGUAGCAAGGAGAAGUCGCAUCUCUGAUGACGAGCCUGUCGAUGACAAUAUUUUUUAUCCUUCUUCGUGCUGCUGCUUCGUGAAAGUCCGUCAAAGCCGUACACCAGCGCGAUGCGCGAACGGAUAAUUCAUUUUUCUUUAUAUUUUAUUCCACGACUGAAUUCAAAAUGAAAAACAGAUAGCAAAAAUAUUCUCGUAUCAAAAGGAUAAAAAUGAUGCAAAAAUAAAAUUACGUACGAUUCAUAGAUAAUCCGUAUCGUUCUGAUGUGCGGCUAAAAUUAAAAUUAAGCGUAGGGGAAACGGAUCGGCCGUUAUGGCGGCAAGAAAAACGCACUGACUAUUUUAGCAAAUCGAGAUUCGACCAUGUACCUUGAUAUAUUACCUUGCGAAUGUUUCCAGAAAGUAUGUACGCGUCUGUAAACGAAUGACCGAGAGAGAAAGGAUUAAAAUGAAUGUGCGCGUGCAUGCGAGUGUGCCAAACAAGUAUGCCUGCUGUCCAGCGUGAGAGAUAAAUAUAAAUAUAUAUAUAUAUAUAUAUAUUAAAUAUUAUAUAUACGGAGGAAGAGCCUUUGGCUCUUGAAGAAGAAGAAAAGAAGAAAAAAACGGACGUGUUUUGUCCUGUACACUGGAUAGAAAAGAAUCUUGGAAGGAAAUCCAAGCAGCUUGAAGAGAGAAAAGUUAUUCGAAAAGGACUCGUAAGGAAAAACGCGUCCGUUUUUGGGUUCUCCAUAUCUCGCACGUGCAGAGCGGUUCGCACCAUUGCGAUCAAUACUGAAAAAUAUGUAUACAGUCAGUCGGAAUGGAUGUUUGAGAAUGUGUGGAAGCGAAGAAUUUGUACAGCGAUUGUGCCGUCGCCCGCACGUGCGUGACAAUAAUUUUUUUCCUACGAGUGGUAGCCGGUGUGCGACAUAUAACUUUAAUUUCGUUUCCGUUCUAUUCUUCGUUUCGAGACUCGACGCGGAGAGCAACGUUUGCGGUGAGGAAAUUCAUUUUUUAAGAUAGAAAGUAUUAUUUUUUUAUGACGCUUCUAUGUCGAACCGUCAAUUACUAAAUUACACGUGCUGCCAGACAUGUCCGUUCCAAUUUUAAUUGGCCAGUAAUAAGUAACUAUGGACGCAAUCCUGAAUCGUGUACCUAGUCUCCAUCUUGGCGCUGCGUACGCUUUAUGGAAGCAGUUUAAUAAUAAUUUUCUCUACCAUAUGGAUGGUAUUUGAAUGAUCAAAAUGAAGAAUUUCAAAUGUAAUAGGAUGAUUACUGCUUCUGUAGAAAAUGCAGUGGAAAAGGGGUCUCUACAUCCUCAUUUUCUUUAAGAAAUUCCCUUUUUGCAAGUGGACUGAAAGGUUAGAACCUAGACUGUUACUUGUAUUCAAGGAUUUCUAAACUGUCCUCUAUAGAGGAUCUGAUGUCCAAUAGAAAAGGAGGAUCGAUUGACCUUCAUCUUUUGAUGUGUUCCCAUUUUGGAGGCUAAUCGAUCAGGAUGAAAAAGUUUGAAAUGCUUAGAAAGCAUAAUAUCAAGUACAAAAAUGGUCUAAAACAAAAUGGCCUCUCACGCGCAGAUGUUCCUCCUCCGUACGAGUACUGUCCUACAAAUCGGGUGGCAUUUCUUCUUCGAAUCGUUUCUGUUACUUUCAUUUUUGUAAGCUUAUAUUUUUACACCGAGCAUCGCUGUACAGAGCAUUGUUCUGCGAAACUCUGGUCUGCUUUAAACCGAACGACGAUAGAAGUUAAAGAAAAAAAAGAAAAAAAGCAAAGCGAGGAAGACUCGUGCGCGGUGUGCACCGAAAGGCACUACUUUAGAACGAAGCUUAUACUUUGGAAGCGACAGGUCGCCAUUUUCUUUUCCUUCAUAUCUCGCGCAUUAACGAAGAUCAAAGAUUCUCUGAUUUUCAAAUGUACCACCGAAUUAAUCGCCCGAUACGAUUUCCGUAUCGAGCGGGCACAAAAGCAAAAAGCAUCAAUCAAAGCAAAUAGAAAAAAAAAAAAAUGGUAUUUUAUUAUCGUGUCAGCCCUGUUGCCUUCGCGAGGUAUAGGCUUCACGAGUCCCGAAUAAGGUUAUAUAAAAAACAAAAAAACAGAAGAUGGUCAGAACUUUUGUUCUGUCGCGUUCCCAACGAAAUAAUAGAGGCGACGAGUUUAUCGUAGGCAGUAAAAAUCAUUAGAUACAAUUAAGGAUACACCGAGUCGCGAUCUCUGUGAUGACGGCGAUAUAUACGCUAAUACGUGAAGAUACGAGGGAAACAUGAUAAAUAAAUAGGAGGGAAAAGACGAGACGAUGAAUUGUUUGUCUCGCUAACGACGAUGAGAACCGAGAACGAUGAUUUUUCCCCGUUCGUGUCAGUUCGAUAACUCCGUCGCGGACACGAUGCAAUUUACUGUCAAGUUUUAGGGUACAUAAGAAUAGAGUUAUUUAAUGUAUAUCUAUUAUUGUACGUAAAGAACACACACACACCAGAAGUACGUUUAAGGUUCGACUCCGAAGCUCAUACAUAAGAAAUAUAAUUGUAUUAUAUAUAUUGUACUAAAAGGGUGCCCGUUUCGCGUGGUUAAACACGGUGGGAGGAUCGAUUGGCGAUAAACGAUCUAAAAAUGAACGUAAACGAUUCUUAAACAAUUGUACAUAUGAAAAGAAAUUUCGGAUCGUGCGAAUUCUGUAGAAAGCGGGCAACAGAGAAUAUUUUGUUAUGUUGAAAAUGGAAGAGCGAAGAAAAACGACGGAGGAAGAAGAGAAGAGUUCAUUUUCGGAUAUAUAAAUAUGGCUGCCGCUGCUGCGUAUUUUUGAGCCGUACGUUUCGAGUUGACGAUUUUUAAACAGGAUCCAGUCGAGACAUGGAUCAUUCUGCGGCCUCAGGCUUGGCGAGAUAAUUGAAGGAAGAAGAAUGAAAUGGAAGAAAAGAAGGGUGGCGAAUAGAGAAGAGGAAGAAAUCGAAGGACCACCGUCGGUUACGCGCAAGAACGAGAGAGAUUCCUUUAUCAUUCCGAAAGUUGGUCACAUCCGUUAACUUAUACACACGUAUUAUACCGAGGAAGCAUCGAUAUAAAUACAUUCCGGUCGCAAAUCACGCAUAAUCAUCAUUUUUACUGAGAGAAGAAUGAAUCUCGACUGGACGCAACUCCUGUCGGAUCUUUUUCCAAGGAAAAAAAAAAAAAGAAAAUGGAGGACCAAAACUGAAGAACAAGAGACAAGAUAAUGACGGGAAGAUUAUUACAAAAUGGCGCGCGCGAUCGACGGGGAAAGAGAUCAGUACUGAUUGGCCACCUUUCGACGCGCAUCCCGUUGUUUUCUUGGCAAAACAAUCGUCUCGUGUUUGCGUGUCCCGACGCGAAGAGAACUGUGAAUAAUAAAAAGUAAGGAACCGAAAAGAUAAAAAAAAAAGCAGGAAGUAAAGGUGUGCGGAAAUAAAAGGAGUGUGCACUCUCGUGAUAGAAAGGAAGACUCAAAAUUUUUUCGAUACACGAAUAUACAACUUAUAUGUAUAAUCGUCUACUACGAGGCUCGAUAGAGGUACAAUUAUUUUUUGCCGUUUUUUCUCUUAUCUCGAGAGGAAACGCGUCGACGUUUCCAUUGCGAGGGGCAACAGCUAUUACGGCGCAGCGAUUUUAACGUGAGCGACGAUGGUUCGAAUGAUCGAGGUGAUCCUCCGGAAAGGAAAGGAAAGGGAAACGUGACGAAGAAAAGAGAGCCAGUAAUACUCCGAGAACAAUAUAUAAAGUGAGAGAGAUAUCCAAGUCGUACCUAAAGCGUAAUCGUUUAUAUCGUAAUUUUGGUACUGUUAUUCUAGUAUGUUCACGCGUUUCGAAGCGAUCGACGUGUGUCUGUAUUAGUUGCAGAAGAAGAGGAGAGGUAGAAGAGGUAAUGAAAAUGCGAAGGAAUGGAUACAGAGGUAAACGAAAGAGAUUAAAAUGGCGGCACCGAAAAGGGAGAAAGAAUUCAUUACGAGAAGGGAAUGUAUUGUCUUUCAAGGUCGUCGUUGACGGAAGGGGGUAGCAAGAGAAAAAAUGGAGUCUAAGCGAGACUGAAGUGAAUGUGAGCGGAUUUCUAAAAAAAAAAAAAAACCCACCAGAAAAAAAUGUCUUUUUGAAAACAAAAAGCGCCAAAAAAAAUCAGUGUAUAAAAAUCAGCCGAGAAUGCAUGUGUACGAACGAGAGGGAGGGAGAGAAAGCGAGCGAGCAUGAUUGAAGAUGGAAGAAAAGUUCCACAAAGGGAAGAUGGGAGUUUGACGAAAAACGACGACGAUGAUAUAUAUCCAUAGAAGAAAGAAGAAAAGUGAAUGAAAAGAAGUGAGAAUUGUUCGGUGUGCAAUAAAUUGUCGAGGAAAUUGAGAGAGACGAAUCGAAAGAAGAAUUUCUUGGCUCCUCUUCUGCCUAGAGAUAAGGAUUUGGUGCGAGGAUGAUUUUUAGAAAGCUAAAAGAAGAGAAAUCGUUGAUUCGUGAGAUAUACGUCACGAUUGACUGUAAGGAAUAUUUCAGUCCAGCACAAUACACUCAGGCAUGCACACCGCAUGCAUACAUAUACACACGCGUACAGAUAUCUAAAUCCCGUAUACAUAAUAUACACGCAUGCGUAUGUGAAAAGAAACAGAGGAAAUGCAGAAGAAAAGAAGAAGAAGAAGCGAGAGAGGGGUUUCUAUUUGAACUCGUUUAAUGUUACAAAGACAAAUAACGCGUUUAUGUGAGUCACGUGUGCAAAAUUCAAUCAAAUGAACACUGGACGCACAUAUUCUCAACUACCGUACAUCACAGCAUUAUUACUAACACGUAGAAGUACGAGAACCUUCGGAGAGAUCGUGAAGAAAGAUACGGCACGAAGCGAAGUGAAAGCUGCCACAGGGUGACGACUGAAAAUUUUCAACAGGAAAUCACCGUGUGUCACAUUGGAAAGGAAAGGAAAUUAUGAUACUCGCAUACAUACAUGCACAUCACAUACAACGCAUUGAAGUUUCUUUGAUGUUUAUCCAAAAAACGAGUGGAGCCGUUUCUUGAACCAAAUAUGGAUGAAGAGAACACACAUAGCAAUUGAGAAGAAAAUUUCUAACCUUACCUAGGAUAAUCCCUUUGUUUUAUUAUCCACUUUCUUUUUUCUCAAUCUUAUAAUUUUUCUCCUUUCAUAUCAGUAUGAAGAAACUAGCCAAAAGCACAUGGUAGCUAUGAUGCGUCCGACUUAUUCUCCAUACAAUCUUUAGUCCUAUUCUGGCCUUAAAAAAGAAAAAACAUCCAAACACACUACGCAUAUCCCGUCCACACAUUUUUCUCUUUACUAUCACUUUUUUCUUUAGGGCCCUACCCAGGGCCCGCAAAUGGUUCAUCUAUGGAGUAACAACUUCUGGGAUCCAUGAAAUCUGUCCUUUUCAGGGCAAACGAUCUCUCAAACUGUCUUUUUCAAGACAAGAAUUUGAAACCGUCCUUUUCAGGACGAACAUCUGGAACGCCGGCCGUUCUAGGUCGGGUUUCGAAGAUCCUUUACAGGACGGAAGUUCUGUGAAGCUUGUCCUUUAUAAGGACGCAACGUUGAGGAACAUUUCUCGGAAGAUCUUUUAAAUAAAGCUUUAAUGUUCUGUGUACCUGAACCCUGAAUACCCUCCCUACCAUUCCAUUGUGAUAUUUUAGGACCAAUUUGUUAAUUGUAGUCUCGAUGCAUAUCAAGGUCAAUGUCUUGAGUAAUUUCAAAGUAAUAUAAUUGCAAAGUAAUUUGUUUCUAUCAUGAUUUUGAAAAUAUCGUUGAUAUACAGUUGUAAUGUCAUUUAAAAUUCAGCUGAUUCUCAUACAGGUACAAGAGGAAUUAUAAGUUACCUAUGUAGAUAAUGUAUGUGCUGUUCAGCAUGACUUCAGCAUAUUUAUUAAAAGGUGAAGGAAAUCCACUGUGGAACAUUCAGGAAGAAGUAUGUCACGUUUCGCUAGAAAAACAAGUUUAUCACUGUGUGCUGAGAAUAUCGUCAUCAGUUAUCUUGUCACGCAAUACGAAGGAAGGAAGGAAAUGAAACAGCAUGAGUAGCCUACUUUCACGAGAAUCAUCAACCUCAAAUUACAAAAUUUUCAGAUGACUCAUUGGAAAUUAACUCCACAGUUAGAAUACUCUUAACUUUCAUAGUUGCAACUCUUGUCGGGGUAUAAAAAGAAACUUAAAAUUGCAAGAGUCAAGGAGAAUGAAAGAUUCAGUUUAAAUAUAGCCUUUGUAUGUUCAACCUAUGUAUCUUUUCUUUCAUCAAGUCAUUGCUCUCGAGUCAAGGCUCGAUCACAAAAUGGUGGGGAUGCGUUAAGAUGGAAGACAGUUGACUUUGUAUGCAGUGGAAUAAAAUAUGCUCAUUUAAGAUGCAAUA
Molecule: long non-coding RNA, 13212 nt
Organism: Osmia bicornis bicornis
Lineage: Eukaryota; Metazoa; Arthropoda; Insecta; Hymenoptera; Megachilidae
Exons: 2
Source: RefSeq, a predicted model, not a curated record